Molecule: long non-coding RNA, 2674 nt
Organism: Mauremys reevesii (Reeves's turtle)
Lineage: Eukaryota; Metazoa; Chordata; Testudines; Geoemydidae
Exons: 6
Source: RefSeq, a predicted model, not a curated record
AGCGCGGGAACGGGCCGGGGAGGCCAGGGCCUUCCGGACCCGCGCCCGCCCGCCCGCCUGAGGCGAACAGAAAACGUCUGCGCAGGGUUUUAAGCCAGGCUGGGAAGAAGCGGGUCCGUGCAAACAACAGACAGGGGAGCCGUUCGGGCCGCUCCUGCUCCCCCUGGCAUCGACACGAAACUCGCGUGGACGUGGACUUCGAGAAAGAACUUUCAAGAACCAGCAAAGAAAAUAUGUCAAAACUCCAAAUUCUAAAGAGCUAGCCCAUCUGGGCAGAGCAACAAGAUUACAAUCAAGAAUGAUGCAGAGAAGCCAUGUAAUGAAAGCCAAGACCACACUGGGACUCCAUGAUGCAACUGUCAAAAGCCCCUUAUGAAGAGGAGCCAAGGGCAACUUUCAGACUUGAGAACCUCUGCAACAAGUCAGAUCUGCUACACUUUAGUAUUGGGCAACCAUCAUGGUGCGAUGAUCUGCUAAGCCUGAAAAUGAAGAUUUAUGCUGGAAAGCCUGGCAGACCCUAAAAUGCAGCAUUGCAAGUCGUGGGAAUGUAAUAAUGUGCCCAUUGGAAAACUGAGAGCUGAUCCAAUAGCUCAUGGAUCCAUGUUUGGAAACGGUUGUUGUGUUCCAGGUGAUAAAGAAGCAAAUGGCCAUGAAGCCUUCCAGUCUAAGCACCUGAGAGAAAUCCAGAGCCAAGCAUUUCCUCCAGGAAUGCUCAAGACAUGUAUCCAUUUGAUUUCACUGGUGAUACUGGAGUCAGAUGCUGUCCAGCUGUGACAUGAGAGAUGUCUGAGAAGUAACAGUAAAGCUGUGGCAGUUUUUCUGGAGGAGGGAGAAAAGACUGACUUACUCUGUGGAAGAACCUGGGCUUAGUAAAGAUAUAGAUUCAGUACUGAAGAGUACAGAGCUCAGCAGGUUGAGAAGUUCUGUUCAGAUACGUGCUGAAAAGUCUGAUGCAUACAUGAAAAAUAACUGUCCUAUUCUGAACAUCUCAGGACAAAUCAAUCUCUGGUAUAACUGUCUUGUUACCCCAGGUAUUAAUUUGACCGUGUGGCCCUGUGGGACGAAGUCAACUGGCGUGGUCCAGCCAUGGGUGUCUAAUUGCAGUGUAGACAUAGUCUCUGGGUCAAAUCUGCAGAGUAGAUCACAGUAGGAGCAUCUGUAAAAAUGCCCUCAUAUCUGUGGUGCUGGUAAAACUCUGCAUUUGUCUGUGCAAAUGAGCAUUUGCACAUACACAAUGGAUCUUUGCCUAAGUGCUUGUUUGCAUGCCUAAUUGCCCACUUUGCAUGCACAAAAGUGGUGCUUUGCAGCACAGCAGGCGCAUACACAUGUUAUAACUGCACCUGUUGGUCUUGAUUUGAAAGUCCAUACAUACCUCCUGUACACUAGCCCCACUGCCAAGAUGUGUACUGCAGGGCUCUGGAUUGACAGGAGGCAGGAUAGUCCUGUGUCUUGGUGAGGUGCUAGAAGCUGAGAAUGGCCCAGCUUGAAACUAUCUUUUGAGUCUCUCACAUAAAACCACUUCCUUACAGCUUCCCAUCAUUUUACUGCAGUUAGUUUUAGCCGCCCUCACCAUUGCUUCUUGAUGUCACUUCUGAAGAGCUGGGGGAGUAAAUCAUGGGGCUGAGGGAAGAUGGGAGAAAAAAGCUGGUACCAGCAGCACAUGCUCAGGGUCAGGCUUUCAAUAAAACAUCUGUUCCCUGGGAGUCACCUGAAGCUAUGAUCCACAUGAAAACACAAAAGGCAAGUGAAAACUGAUAAGACACUAAUAUAUUUGGGCUUCCCUGCGUUACAUGUUCUAAAAAGAAAAGAUAAGAAAGCGGAUCGUAGAUGUUCCUGCCUUUCAAAUGCACAGAGAGCAGAGCCACAAGUAGAAGCUGCAGUAUUUAUGGGAGACAGAAGAACAUCCCUUUCAUCUCUGGCGUUUGAAAUUUUCUUUCAGAGUUACCUGUGGGACAAUGGUACACAGAGCUCGCCCGCAUACACUGUAUAAUUCACACAACAGAAACUACAUUAAAAGAAUGUUGUGCUUAGAAAUCAAACCCACUAGAACAAGCCAAGAAAUGCUUUAGAGUGAAAGACCUAAGCAACUACUGGAUGCACAGCAAAGGAACCUCCAAGUGAAAAUCCCAUUGUGCCUAGGCACUCAUGAUGGGAUUCAGAAUGACAAAUUCCUGACAUACUUUUGGGAUGUCAUCUGGCUUAUAUCUCCCUUGAACCCAGUAUAGAUACCCUAUCCUCUUUGCUCCAUGUAAACAGCAUCCUCCUUUGUAUGUGAUAUAGGCUCAGGGCUUGAUUUUCAAAUGUACUUGUACAGUUACUGUGAUUGCACACACAAUUGGGUAUUUGUAAACAUAAAUGCUCAUUUACUUGUCACACUGGCCAUUUGCAUUCAUAAAUAUCCAGUUUGCAUGUAUAAUCUAAAUAAAUGUGUGUGAAAAUUAAGCACACAAUUGUACAUACGCAGGAACCUGAUAUUCAUAUGUGGUGUGAGGGAGUGAGACCCCCACUGAAAUCAACGGAAUUUCACCCAUUUACAGUAAGUCUAAAUUUGACACUCAAUGUUCUUUCUGCUAGGGACAAAAUUUCAAACCUGGCACACCCACAAAAAUGCACAUGCAUCCACUGCCCUUCAGUGUAAUGGGUACACUGGAAAAAUGUGCAUUGCACCCUCCAC